RNAcentral lists this ribosomal RNA (253 nucleotides) under uncultured bacterium. Its description in RNAcentral is "partial 16S ribosomal RNA". It matches the Rfam family "Bacterial small subunit ribosomal RNA", at positions 524 to 776 of the family's 1533-position model. The record is from RNAcentral.
UACAGAGGUCCCAAGCGUUGUUCGGAAUCAUUGGGCGUAAAGAGCGUGUAGGCGGCCCGGUAAGUCCGCUGUGAAAGUCCAGGGCUCAACCCUGGGAUGCCGGUGGAUACUGUCGGGCUCGAGUCCGGAAGAGGAGUGUGGAAUUCCUGGUGUAGCGGUGAAAUGCGCAGAUAUCAGGAGGAACACCAAUGGCGAAGGCAGCACUCUGGGACGUGACUGACGCUGAGACGCGAAAGCGUGGGGAGCAAACAGG